CAGUAGCCGCGGGAAAACGAAGGGGGCUAGCGUUGCUCGGAAUGACUGGGCGUAAAGGGCGCGUAGGCGGCGGCCAAAGUCAGGCGUGAAAUUCCCGGGCUCAACCUGGGGGCUGCGUUUGAUACUUGGUUGCUUGAGUGGGGAAGAGGGUCGUGGAAUUCCCAGUGUAGAGGUGAAAUUCGUAGAUAUUGGGAAGAACACCGGUGGCGAAGGCGGCGACCUGGUCCUUUACUGACGCUGAGGCGCGAAAGCGUGGGGAGCAAACAGGAUUAGAUACCCGUGUAGUCCCUGUCUCUUAUAC
This 301-nucleotide ribosomal RNA is filed under the name uncultured bacterium. RNAcentral's name for it is "partial 16S ribosomal RNA". It matches the Rfam family "Bacterial small subunit ribosomal RNA", at positions 509 to 807 of the family's 1533-position model. The record is from RNAcentral.